AGUUUUAUAGUUUAAAAAAAACAUUAAAUUGCAAAUUUAAAAAUAAAUUUUAUUUUAAAACUU
Molecule: transfer RNA, 63 nt
Filed under: Omophron limbatum
Lineage: Eukaryota; Metazoa; Arthropoda; Insecta; Coleoptera; Carabidae
Description: tRNA-Cys
Source: RNAcentral